GUAUAAGAGACAGGUGAGUCAUCGAAUCUUUGAACGCACAUUGCGCCCCUUGGUAUUCCAUGGGGCAUGCCUGUUCGAGCGUCAUUUGUACCCUCCAGCCUUGCUGGGUGCUGGGUGUUUGUUCCGCUGUGCGCGUGAACUCGCCUUAAAUACAUUGGCAGCCAGCCGUCCCGCGUGGGAGUGCAGCACAUUUUGCGCUCUCCGCUGUGUACGGCGGCGUCCAUAAGCCUAUACUUUUACGCUUGACCUCGGAUCAGGUAGGGAUACCCGCUGAACUUAAGCAUAUCAAUAAGCGGAGGA
RNAcentral lists this unclassified non-coding RNA (300 nucleotides) under uncultured Pleosporales. RNAcentral's name for it is "sequence contains 5.8S rRNA gene, ITS2". The stretch from base 1 to 84 matches the Rfam family "5.8S ribosomal RNA", at positions 67 to 154 of the family's 154-position model. Lineage: Eukaryota; Fungi; Ascomycota; Dothideomycetes; Pleosporales. The record is from RNAcentral.